Molecule: long non-coding RNA, 1874 nt
Filed under: Sorghum bicolor (sorghum)
Lineage: Eukaryota; Viridiplantae; Streptophyta; Magnoliopsida; Poales; Poaceae
Description: long non-coding RNA (SBIC_LNC002075)
Source: RNAcentral
UUCAUCCAUCUGCCAUCCCAUGCGAUCCCACCUCCCAUGUUGUGCAAUAGGCGAGCGAGAAAAGGAAAGAAAAUAAUUUGUCCGCCCGUCGCUCCAUCCACGCAUGCGACCAGCGCGAGACGCCGCCAUCGCCGCAAGACCGAGAAAGGAAGAAAUUACCAUGAGAAAGGAAGAAAGGUAUUGCCUCCUAUCGUACUUGCGCUACACCUCGUUGGAGAAGGUGCUGAUUUUCUGCGUCGCGGAGUCAGGUGACGACGACGCGUUCACCUCCCUCAUCCCUGGCAACCUCUUCCUGCACAAUGAGGACGGCCGCUACCUCCUCAGCGUCAUCGCCGCUGUCGGCCAUCCUCGGGUGCCUAGAGAGGACGCGGGCAGAGCGGAGGACGCGAGCGAGCAUGAGAUCCGCUCCGCCCGAGCCGGAGUCGCGGCCGCCAUCUCCUGCUCGGCCUCACCAUCACCAUCGCUGCCCUGCUCGCACUCGCCUCCGCCCAAUGACGGAGCCACCCUAGCGGCGGGGUGGGGCGGCCGCCCCAGCUACCAACGGCAUCGUCCAAGAACCCCAAACCCCCUCUAAUUCCUUAGCUUCGGCUACCGGGCUACCGAGGAGAGGCCGCUCCGCCGCAAGAAGACCACUGGCGUCGAGCGAGAGCGAGCCGCAAGCACUGAGUAUCGAAGAAGACGAGGCUCACUCCGCCGCCCGCUGCAAGGAACCAGCCACGCGCUCGCCGCCACCCUCGCCGGCCGCUGCUAGGCGCUAGCGCGGCACACUGCUCAUCCGCUCACUGCCAUCGCUAGGAACGAUGGAGGGAGGAGAAGCGGAACUUGGCAGGGGCAGCAGCUUUGCCAGUUAUUUAAUUUAUUUUGCAAAUUUGAGGCAACAUAUUAUGUUGUUCGUCCGCCUUUUUGACAAUAACUUUUGCGAUUCUAGUUUUUUGGCUAUAUUUUUUACAAUCGCAGUCGAUGAAUACUGUGCGAUUUGUGCCAUAAGCUUUUUCGUUUAUCUUCGUGUUAGAACUCGCCCAGCUAUAAUUUUUUUCUGGCUCCGUCAUUGCCUCCGCCUCUGAAUCUGACCACAAUGUGCGUUGCUCACGACCCGACCACGCGGACAUUUGACACUGCAUAUUCAAGCCCCUGCGAUAUGCCGGCUGACUUGCUAAGAACUGAAAUUAGAGCGAGCGAGGGAGAAAACACGCUGCUGUGUCGGCGGUCAGCACAGCAUGUGCUGUGGGUGCAGUGUGCUAGCUACGUCGCAGAGAAUUUUUGCCCCCUAAUUUGUUCUCUUGGACCAGUGGCCUAGAUUAGAUAAUCCCUUUCUGGUGUGAUAUCCAUUAUCCCGGUGCUGCUUGCCCGCUUUCACACGCGUUCAGACUUCAGAUACGCAAAAUGAUAUUCAGCUAGAUCACCAUUUCAAAUGUGCAGAUUAGGCAAAUAGUAAUGCCAAUAUGCCAGGAUUAGCAGCUGCUCUGCUUGGAAGCGCAAGGAAAGCCUUGUGGUGCUGCUCUGAAAAAUCUGAAUCCUGUCCAACAAAGGCAUCAGGCAUUGCGCAUCUGUCUUCUUCUCCGUGAGCUCAGCUACAAUGAGGUGCAGUUGCCUGCUUCUUACCUUGCAGGUUAGUAAUCCAGACAUGAAGUAUAGACGGAUGGGAAUAAUUGGUGUUUUAAGGAUAGUUUCUACUACUGCUUCCACUAACAUCAAUGCUGCUGUGAACUGUUCAUCAUCUCAGGUUUGUUUUAAGCACAAUGUAAUUUUAAGAGGAAUUUGGUGUUUAGUUGUUCGGAUUGGAAUGCAUGCCGCAGCUUAUGACAUAAAGCUUGCCAUUCUAUUUUUAUAAAAUUUGGUUCCAUACUAUGUGACUUUUUUGUUCAUCAGGGUAU